ACGGAAGGCAGCAGUGGGGAAUAUUGCACAAUGGGGGAAACCCUGAUGCAGCAACGCCGCGUGAAGGAUGAAGGUUUUCGGAUCGUAAACUUAUGUCUUCAGGGACGAAAUUUGACGGUACCUGAGGAGGAAGCCACGGCUAACUCCGUGCCAGCAGCCGCGGUAAUACGGGGGUGGCGAGCGUUAUCCGGAUUUACUGGGUGUAAAGGGCGCGUAGGCGGGUCUUUAAGUCUGAUGUGAAAUCCCGCGGCUUAACUGCGGAACUGCAUUGGAAACUGGAGAUCUUGAGUGCUGGAGAGGAAAGCGGAAUUCCUAGUGUAGCGGUGAAAUGCGUAGAUAUUAGGAGGAACACCAGUGGCGAAGGCGGCUUUCUGGACAGUAACUGACGCUGAGGCGCGAAAGCGUGGGGAGCAAACAGGAUUAGAUACCCUGGUA
RNAcentral lists this ribosomal RNA (435 nucleotides) under uncultured Pseudobacteroides sp. RNAcentral describes it as "partial 16S ribosomal RNA". It matches the Rfam family "Bacterial small subunit ribosomal RNA", at positions 341 to 792 of the family's 1533-position model. The record is from RNAcentral. Lineage: Bacteria; Bacillati; Bacillota; Clostridia; Eubacteriales; Oscillospiraceae.